RNAcentral lists this transfer RNA (74 nucleotides) under Enterococcus sp. Its description in RNAcentral is "tRNA-Val". It matches the Rfam family "tRNA". From Rfam's summary of the family: Transfer RNA (tRNA) molecules are approximately 80 nucleotides in length. Their secondary structure includes four short double-helical elements and three loops (D, anti-codon, and T loops). Further hydrogen bonds mediate the characteristic L-shaped molecular structure. tRNAs have two regions of fundamental functional importance: the anti-codon, which is responsible for specific mRNA codon recognition, and the 3' end, to which the tRNAs corresponding amino acid is attached (by aminoacyl-tRNA synthetases). tRNAs cope with the degeneracy of the genetic code in two manners: having more than one tRNA (with a specific anti-codon) for a particular amino acid; and 'wobble' base-pairing, i.e. permitting non-standard base-pairing at the 3rd anti-codon position. Lineage: Bacteria; Bacillati; Bacillota; Bacilli; Lactobacillales; Enterococcaceae. The record is from RNAcentral.
GGUUGUGUAACUCAGUCUGGUAGAGUGCUCGCUUGACUCGCGGGAGGUCGUAGGUUCAAAUCCUGUCACAACCA